CCUACGGGCGGCAGCAGUCGAGAAUCAUUCACAAUGGGGGAAACCCUGAUGGUGCGACGCCGCGUGGGGGAAUGAAGGUCUUCGGAUUGUAAACCCCUGUCAUGUGGGAGCAAAUUAACAAGAUAGUACCACAAGAGGACGAGACGGCUAACUCUGUGCCAGCAGCCGCGGUAAUACAGAGGUCUCAAGCGUUGUUCGGAAUCACUGGGCGUAAGGCGUGCGUAGGCUGUUUCGUAAGUCGUGUGUGAAAGGCGCGGGCUCAACCCGCGGACGGCACAUGAUACUGCGAGACUAGAGUAAUGGAGGGGGAACCGGAAUUCUCGGUGUAGCAGUGAAAUGCGUAGAUAUCGAGAGGAACACUCGUGGCGAAGGCGGGUUCCUGGACAUUAACUGACGCUGAGGCACGAAGGCCAGGGGAGCGAAAGGGAUUAGAUACCCUUGUAGUC
Molecule: ribosomal RNA, 446 nt
Filed under: uncultured bacterium
Lineage: Bacteria
Description: partial 16S ribosomal RNA
Rfam family: Bacterial small subunit ribosomal RNA
Source: RNAcentral